Molecule: RNA transcript, 4249 nt
Organism: Trifolium pratense (red clover)
Lineage: Eukaryota; Viridiplantae; Streptophyta; Magnoliopsida; Fabales; Fabaceae
Exons: 29
Source: RefSeq, a predicted model, not a curated record
GUAGAAACCCAAAGAAGGAAAUUUGGAAGGCUUUCGUGUUUUUCGCCAUUUUAACCUAACAAAAGUAACAUAGAAAGAUAAAGGGCACCUUGAAAAGGAAAGGACUUUGAAGUCCUAAGAUUGUUUCCCCACAACAACUAACUAAAUUCUCCAAAGUCGUCAGGGUGACGUUCCGGCGUUAACGUCACACAAUCCUAUCCUAGAUAGAAAAGAAAACGAAGAGCGCCGAAAACAUUUCAAAUGAAAUGGAAGAAAGCAACCAGAAUGAAAUCCAAAUCCAAAUCCGAACCCUAACCGGCGAAUCUAUCAUUCUUCACAUCACUCCCUCUGCCACCGUCCAACACCUCAAGCUUCUACUCAACAACUCUUUCCCUCCCGCCACCAAUUCCCCCAAUUUCCAUCUCUUUUUCAAGGGCAAUAAAUUGCAAUUGCAUGAUGAAAUUGGUUCUUAUAUAAUUCAAUCUGGGGAGUCUCUCGUCUUGAUUCCAUUUGCCAAGAAGGAACUAACUCAAUCGGACAAACCGGAUUCAGUUUUCUCUUCUCCAAAUGUUGCUUGCAAUGCUUCAACCUCUAAUCUCGCGGAUACAAUGUGGUCUAGUAUAAUGGAAGAUUUGUCUGAAUUACGCGAAACCGCUGAAAAAAUUGAUGAUAAUAAUGUAUCCAAUUUGGAAAGGAAUAAAGAGAGAACUGCGGAGGUUGAAAUCAAAAGGGGUUUGGGUUCUGAGAAAGAGAUAGAGCUUCCUUAUCAUUUGAUAUUCAAUACAUUGGAUUGCACUAAUGAGAGUGCUCUUGGAGAGAGUAAUUGUGAGGUUUUUUCUAAGGUUUUGGACUCAGUGAAUUGUUUAUCUGAUUUGCCUCUUGGACAUUGCAAGUUGUUCAAGAGAGCAUGUUUGACGAAGCGAACUUCUGGCAAUGAUGGUGGUGGUGUUACUUGCUUGUGUCCACCGUGGUUGAAGACGGUUGUGAAGUCGUUUGCUUUCGUAAAUAUUUUUUCCGCAUUUCUUCAUUUGCAGGGUAGAAAGGUCACCACGAGUCUACUGGAAGAAGGACUUGACCAGUUUUCCAAGUUUGGAGUCAAACUUGGUCUCCAUGAGAUGAAGCAUCUUUCCCUUCUUUGUCCUCAUCUAGUAAGUUUUGUAGAUGACAUAGAAAAGGCGAGUUUUGGUGAUGUCAUUAUUGUAGUAAAUCAUUCAACUAGCAAUGAAGAUCAAAUUGAAGAUCCUAAAAGAGCUCGCAAGUCAUUGUAUAUUUCAAAGAUUGUCAGUACAUUAAAGCGAAGGGACAGUUCUUUCCGAAAAUAUCUGGGGUGGGCUUUUGAGCAGAUUCAGUUUGAAAUUGGAGAUGAGAUGAACGUGAGAAUUUCUUUCGAAGAACUGCUCGCAGCAGUCGAGGACUGUGAUUUUACCAGAAAAGGAAACAAAUCAAAACGUGUAAAGAGAAGCUCAACUUCCUCAAGACCUGACAUGGAUCACUUUGGGUGUCAUGACACAAAGUCAUUAAUGGCUGUGGACAUGGUUGAACAUCUUAAGAAAGGAAUUGGAUCUGAAGGACAGAUUGUGCAUAUUGAAGACAUAUGUGCCAGAAAAGCCAUUUACAGUGAGAUCCCAGCUGAACUAUCAGAGAAAACGAGAUCUGCACUAAAGUAUAUUGGAGUUUCCAAAAUGUAUAAUCACCAGGCAGAAUCUAUACAAGCCUCCCUUCUCGGGAAGAAUGUUGUUGUGGCUACAAUGACAUCUAGUGGAAAAUCUCUUUGCUACAACCUGCCUGUUCUAGAAGAGUUGUUUGAGAAUUCAUCAUCAUGUGCUUUGUACAUAUUUCCUACAAAGGCAUUAGCUCAAGAUCAAUUAAGAUCUUUGUUACACAUGACGAAAGAAUUUGAUGUUGACUUGAAUAUUGGUAUAUAUGAUGGUGACACUUCUCAUAGUGAAAGGACUUGGCUACGUGAUAAUUCUAGACUGCUAAUCACAAAUCCAGAUAUGUUACACAUAUCAAUCUUGCCCCACCAUCGGCUAUUUAGUCGGAUUUUAUCGAAUCUAAGGUUUCUGGUAAUUGAUGAAACUCAUACCUACAAGGGAGCAUUUGGAUGUCAUACCGCUCUUAUAUUAAGGAGGCUUAGGCGACUCUGCUCACAUGUAUAUGGAGCUGUUCCUUCGUUUAUUUUUUCUACUGCAACUUCUGCGAAUCCUCAUGAGCAUUCUAUGGAACUUGCAAAUUUACCCAAAGUGGAGUUAUUUCAGAAAGAUGGGAGUCCAUCUGCAAGAAAACUUUUCAUCCUUUGGAAUCCUGUUUUGCGCCCAAAAACUAUAUUCAAUAAAGCUCGGUUUGCUAUGGAUAAUGAUGAGUUGGCAGAUGAAAGUGCUAAUUUUGUUCGUUCAAGCCCAAUCGUGGAUGUUUCCCGCCUUCUUGCAGAAAUGGUUCAGCACGGUCUUCGCUGCAUUGCAUUUUGUAAAUCACGGAAACUUUGCGAGCUGGUUUUAUCCUAUGCACGUGAGAUUCUUCAGGAGACAGCCCCACAUCUCCUGGAUUCCAUAUGUGCAUAUCGUGGUGGCUACAUUGCAGAGGAAAGAAGAAAAAUAGAGAGUGCAUUUUUUGGUGGUAAAAUUUGUGGUGUUGCUGCAACUAAUGCUCUUGAAUUGGGCAUUGAUGUUGGAGAAAUUGAUGUCACUCUGCAUCUAGGAUUUCCUGGUAGUAUUGCAAGCUUGUGGCAACAAGCCGGUAGAGGUGGGAGGCGAGCUAGACCGUCUCUUGCUAUCUAUGUUGCAUUUGGUGGACCACUUGAUCAAUACUUCAUGAACAAUCCUAGAAAACUUUUUGAAAGACCAAUUGAAUGCUGUCAUAUUGAUUCUCAAAACAAGCAGGUUCUUGAACAGCAUUUGGUCUGUGCAGCUCAUGAACACCCUCUGAGUGUGCAGUAUGAUGAGCAGUAUUUUGGUGCUUGCUUAGAGAGUUGUUUGAAUUCUCUGAAAGAUAGAGGAUACUUAUGUCCUGAUCUGUCUGAUUCUUCUAGAAUUUGGAACUAUAUUGGUCCUGAGAAAUUACCUUCACAUGCAAUCAAUAUCCGCGCAAUAGAAACUGUUAGAUAUAGUGUCAUAGAUCAGAAAAAGAAUGAAGUCCUUGAAGAGAUAGAGGAAAGCAAGGCUUUCUUUCAGGUAUACGAAGGUGCAGUGUACUUGCGUCAGGGAAAAACCUAUUUGGUUGAAAAAUUAGAUCUAUCUAGCAAAACUGCUUUCUGCAAAGAGGCUGAUCUGAAGUAUUAUACAAAGACUCGAGACUACACCGAUAUCCAUGUCAUUGGGGGUAAUAUUGCUUAUCCAGUAAUUGAUUCCACCAUGUUUACAAAAACAAAUGUCCGUGCUAAUGCAUGCCAAGUGGCAACUACUUGGUUUGGAUUUUAUCGUAUUUGGAGAGGAAGCAAUCAAAUCAUUGAUGCAGUUGAUCUAGCACUUCCUCAAUAUUCAUACGAGUCCCAGGCAGUCUGGGUACCAGUGCCACAGUCAAUAAAAGAAGCAGUAGUCAAGCAAAAUUAUGAUUUCCGUGGAGGUUUGCAUGCUGCUUCACAUGCUGUUUUACACGUAGUGCCUUUACAUAUAGUGUGCAACUUGUCUGAUCUGGCUCCUGAGUGUCCAAAUCCUCAUGACAGCCGAUAUUAUCCUGAAAGAAUCUUAAUAUAUGAUCAAAAUCCUGGAGGGUCUGGAAUUUCAGUACAGGCUCAACCCCAUUUCUCAAAGUUCCUGACAGCUGCUCUGGAAGUGCUCACAUGUUGCCGCUGUUCGGCUGAAGUUGGUUGCCCUAAUUGUGUUCAGAGCUUUGCUUGCCACGAGUAUAACGAAGUUCUGCACAAGGAUGCGGCCAUUAUGAUCAUCAAGGGUAUUCUAGAUGCAGAGAACUAGUACUCUAAGGAAUGUGCUGGUUAUUUUCAAGUCUACAUAAAGAAAUUAAUUUUCUUUUCAAAAUUCGGUAUUUUGCGCAAGGACCGAUACUCAACUCCAAUUUCACCGUCCACUCUUUUGAGCCGCUGUUCAACAUCAAACCUAAAGGAUAACAAGCAAGAUUGAAAUCAAUUACUGAUAUGGAUUUGAAAGAUGGAGCAGUAGAAUUGUAACAACAGGUUAGGAGUCAACAAUAAAUAAUAUAUAUUAUUUUAGUUCAUAAAUAAGUUAAUUCAAAUGGUCCUGAGUAUAGUUUAUUUUUAUUUACUGUAAUGUAUAAAUCACCCCCUUUUUCUAAAAGAAUGUCCAGGUUCAUCAAA